UGAACGCUGGCGGCAUGGCUAAAACAUGCAAGUCGAACGGACCCGCAAGGGUUAGUGGCGGAAGGGUGAGUAAAAGUAUCGAACGUACCCCGAGGUGGGGGAUAGGCACGGGAAACUGUGCGUAAUACCCCAUGAUCUCGAGAGAGCAAAGCAGCAAUGCGCCUUGGGAGCGGCGAUAUACCUAUCAGGUCGUUGGCGGGGUAAUGGCCCACCAAGCCGAAGACGGGUAGCCGGUGUGAGAGCACGGCCGGCCACAUCGAGACUGAGACACUGCUCGGACUCCUACGGGAGGCUGCAGUAACGAAUAUUCCGCAAUGCGCGAAAGCGUGACGGAGCAAUGCCGCGUGCAGGAUGAAGCGGUUUCGCCGUGUAAACUGCUGUCAGGGGCGAGAAACACUGAUCAGCCCCAGAGGAAGGACCGGCUAAACUCGUGCCAGCAGCCGCGGUAAGACGAGUGGUCCUAGCGUUAGUCGGAAUCACUGGGCUUAAAGGGUGCGUAGGCGGGCCAGUAAGUGCCUUGUGAAAGCCCCCGGCUCAACCGGGGAACCGCAGGGCAUACUGCUGGUCUUGAGGAAGCUAGAGGCCGGUGGAACGAUAGGUGGAGCGGUGGAAUGCGUA
RNAcentral lists this ribosomal RNA (618 nucleotides) under uncultured soil bacterium. RNAcentral describes it as "bacterial SSU rRNA". It matches the Rfam family "Bacterial small subunit ribosomal RNA", at positions 30 to 692 of the family's 1533-position model. The record is from RNAcentral.